GCCUGCGUGGCUCAGUUGGUUGAGCGUCUGACUUCGGCUCAGGUCAUGAUCUCGCGGUUUGUGGGUUUGAGCCCCGCAUCGGGCU
RNAcentral lists this transfer RNA (85 nucleotides) under Felis catus (domestic cat). It matches the Rfam family "tRNA". From Rfam's summary of the family: Transfer RNA (tRNA) molecules are approximately 80 nucleotides in length. Their secondary structure includes four short double-helical elements and three loops (D, anti-codon, and T loops). The record is from Rfam by way of RNAcentral. Lineage: Eukaryota; Metazoa; Chordata; Mammalia; Carnivora; Felidae.